CUGUACAGUUCAGAGUUUGAUCCUGGCUCAGGAUGAACGCUAGCGGCAGGCUUAACACAUGCAAGUCGAGGGGCAGCAUAAUGAAGUAGCAAUACGGAUUUGAUGGCGUCCGGCGCACGGGUGCGUAACGCGUAUGUAACCUACCUCUAACAGGGGGAUAACACUGAGAAAUUGGUACUAAUACCCCAUAACACUUAAGGAGGCAUCUUCUUGAGUUGAAAGUUCCGGCGGUUAGAGAUGGACAUGCGUUGUAUUAGCUAGAUGGUGAGGUAACGGCUCACCAUGGCGACGAUACAUAGGGGGACUGAGAGGUUAACCCCCCACACUGGUACUGAGACACGGACCAG
RNAcentral lists this ribosomal RNA (347 nucleotides) under uncultured bacterium. RNAcentral describes it as "bacterial SSU rRNA". It matches the Rfam family "Bacterial small subunit ribosomal RNA", at positions 1 to 334 of the family's 1533-position model. The record is from RNAcentral.